UAGGCAGAUGCUUGAAGCCCCUUGAGCACUCUUGAUGUCCAAAGGUGAGUGCUGCGUGUUUACAAUGUCUAGAAUUUCUUUUCUAGCCUGGAAACUUCAGGGAACACAGAUUUCCAUGAGCAGAAAGCUGAAGACCUGAACUGAUCUUGAAACUUCUACUGUGGUGCCCUUCAAACCAUUCUCCACACUUCAGCAGGAAGGAUCCUGUAAAAACCCAAAUGUUAUCCCCAUAUCCUUACUCUACUUAAAACACUUCCAGGCUAAACUCCUUAACAAGGCUUAAAAGGCCAUGCCUGGCCUCCCCAGCCUCCUCUCCAGCUUCAGCUCGAUCCUACUCUCCCUGCUCUCAGAGCCAGGCCUCCCUGGCCUUGUCCCCAGGCUUCAGGUGAUCCACACCCGUCCUGGCCCCAGAGCUGCUAGCCCAGAGCCCUUCUGCUCUUCUGACAUCCUUUGCCUCCUGUCCACUCCUUUUCCUUAAGAUUUCAGCUCGAAAGGCACUCCUCAACAAAGUCACUCCUUCGACCAGGUCAGUGCCCUUGAAGUCACAGCACCCUGCCCCUUUACUUCACUCACCACAUGAAUCUGGCCACUUACAGAUGUCUGUGUGUGCGACUGGUUUGUGUGAGUGCUGACCACCUGUAAGCUCCCUGUGGCUAGGAACAUGUUGCUGCAAUUGUUACUCCCCAAUGUCCAGCCUACCCGGUACAUUGUAGGUGCUCAGUAAGUGCUACAUGAAUGAAGGAGUGAAUACGUGAACAAAUAAAGGAAGGAAGGAAUAAACGAAGCCAUUUGGUCUCUUAUCAAGUACCGUAUCCUUUUUUCCAUAUAUCUGUUGAACCCCUAAUAAUCCCACUACUGCAUUAUAUCGUUGUGAGGUAAGGUGUCACCUCCAUAAAGAGCUUUGCUGCUGGAGUUAGAAAGCCUUAGAUUCAAAUCUCUAAUCUCCCGCCUACCUACCGUGUGACCUCAGGCCAAUAACUGAAUUCCUUCUGAAUUCAGUUUUAUCACCUAUAUAUUGGAAUUAUAAAAAUACCUAACUCACUGAGUUGUGUAAACUACAUAAGAUGCCCUCAGCCACGUGGAUGAAUAACAGUAACGUUCACUGAGCUCUUGCCCUUAGCCAAGAAUGUUCUAAGGUGUUUAAAAUGUAUCAGCCCAUUUUAUCCCCCGCAACCUGAUGAGGUAGGUGGUUGUAGCUUUUCCACGUUGCAGAUGAGGAAACUGAGGCCCAGAGGAGCACGAGAGGGCACAGUUGCUAAGUAGGUUCUGACUUCACCUGCCUGCUUUCUGAGCCCAACACCCUAGGUCUCCUCCCGGCCCUGCCUCUCACAUAGAGAAUGCUCACCGAAGAAAGCUGCCGUUUACUUUAUAGAAUCGGAAAAAGCCACAAAACAAUGAGGAUGAGCAACAGCCACAGUUUCACGUUUCACUUCUCUCUUCAGUCCGGAAAUCUGCAUGAGCGUGGAAACGGCUUCAGGGAAUUCCAAGAAAAUGCUCUCGCUGCAGAGGUGACCUUCCCAGGAGGGAGACUGACCUUGGCUCACCCUCUUUGGCCACACCCUGCCCUAAGCUGUCCAGAUGAGGUCCAGGAAGGGUCUGGGACAGGAGACAGCCGUGGCUUCUCCACUCAGUAUUCAGCCUCAGGGAACUGGAUUACUCCUCAGAAACAAGCGGAAGGAACUCAGCAGUCAAGCAGGAAUGCCUGUCGGCAGGGCGUCUUCUGGACAGUGACACUGGUUCCUUCCUCCUUGGAGUGAAACCUGCCAUUUCCCAACGAGGGCACCAGACCCCGACUCCUACGGUCUCAGCCGUAUACGCCGCUCACCACGACUGAGUCUGCACGUUGGAAAAUGCUGAGCACAGGGUGUGGAGCGCGGUGGGUCUUUCAUAAAUGCCAGCCUCCUUUCCCUUACUUUCCCCUGACAAAUAUCACGACUUUGUUUUAUUGAAAGUAGACAUCUCAAAAUACAAGAAUAUCACCCAUUUUGAGAAACGGAGCAGAGCUUCCUUCGAAGUCGGCUGUAUUGAAUGAAAUGACCAGUGUCUGACUUUGUUGAUGAGGGAGUAGGUGCUGCGGUUCAAGGUGCCCCGGCCUCUCUUGGCCCCUUUCAAAGGUUUCCUGAUGUUUACCCCAGUGAUUUAGACAGGUAGCCGAAAGCGAUUUCUCAGCAACAAAGAACUGUCCUGUCAAGGGGCUUAUUGCUUGUUCACUGCUUUCUAAUAAAACAUCCGGUGUGGAGGCUUAGAUGCCCUGAGGUACAGAGAGAGAAUUCCCCUUAUAAGGGAAAGGACUCUGGUGAUCAACAGCAGGGUCAAAAGAAUGCCAGCUCAUCGGAUUCAAGCUUCAUCGGGGGCCUCCUGGAAAGCCUGGCCCGUGGCCGUGGUUUUGUUCUUCUGUUUCUUACUGAGAACGUGUUUCCCAACUGUAUGCAGGAGUGGACGCGCUCAGAUGUACGAAGCACUUCCACCCUAUGGGCCUGGAUUACAUGAAGCAAGGCCAUGGUGCAGAGUCCUCGCCAGGUUGGGAGCCUCAGACUUAUGAAUUCAGCACAAUGGGACUGCCAGUUACCCAGAUGGGAUGCUGACACACCCAGGAGCUCAGACCCAGAGCAGGCCUGGCAGCCCCGCCCCUGGGUGGCCACUACCCAACCUGCCUGCCUCCCCUGAGGGGGCACUGGUGGCCAUCUGGCAGCUCCCUCUGAGCUGUCACCCAGUCUGUUUUGUCUUUUGUCUGGAUGUGACAUGACAACGUGUUAAUUAAAAAGUAGUUAAGCCAAAAUGAAAAGGCAAUCCAAAACCUGGGGAAAUAUUAUAAUACAUAUGAGAAAAAAGACAACUCAAUAAAGAAAGACAGUACAAUGAACACACAUACGCGGUUUAUUAAAAAGGAGUACAAAUGGCCAACAGCAUACUUUUAAGAUAGUCAACCUCACUAAUAAUCAAAGAAAUUCACACUGAAACAAGAUCCUCGGGAGUAGAACAGAAGAGGUAAGUAUUGCAGGAGACUGACAGAUAACAAAGACAGAAAACACAGAGUGGGCCUGGGUGUGGCAGCCAGUGUCCAUCUACCGCUGGAGAUAGUGGAAAGGCAUGACUUUUCUGAAAGGAAAUGUGCAGCAUGUUUUUAAAAUGCAGACACAGUGGGAUCCACAAAUUACACUUCUAGGAAUUUAUCUUAAAGAAGCAACUGGACAAGUUGCAAGCAACAACACAACCACGUGUGUCUCAGCCUUGGUUACAAUGUGGAAAGGAGAAGAACACACAUAUCCAGUA
This is a long non-coding RNA of Cercocebus atys (sooty mangabey), 3273 nucleotides long. RefSeq lists it as uncharacterized. NCBI's taxonomy places the organism in Eukaryota, Metazoa, Chordata, Mammalia, Primates, Cercopithecidae. The record is from RefSeq and is a predicted model, not a curated record. The transcript is spliced from 3 exons.